UAGGGAAUCUUCGGCAAUGGACGCAAGUCUGACCGAGCAACGCCGCGUGUGUGAAGAAGGUUUUCGGAUCGUAAAACUCUGUUGUUAGAGAAGAACAAGGACGUUAGUAACUGAACGUCCCCUGACGGUAUCUAACCAGAAAUCCACGGCUAACUACGUGCCAGCAGCCGCGGUAAUACGUAGGUGGCAAGCGUUGUCCGGAUUUAUUGGGCGUAAAGCGAGCGCAGUCGGUUUCUUAAGUCUGAUGGGAAAGCCCCCAGCUCAACCGGGGAGGGUCAUUGGAAGCUGGGAGACGUGAGUGCAGAAGAGGGGAGGGGAAUUCCAUGUGUAGCGGUGAAAUGCGUAGAUAUAUGGAGGAACACCAGUGGCGAAGGCGGCUCUCUGGUCUGUAACUGACGCUGAGGCUCGAAAGCGUGGGGAGCAAACAGG
RNAcentral lists this ribosomal RNA (429 nucleotides) under Gemmatimonadota bacterium. RNAcentral describes it as "Gemmatimonadetes bacterium partial 16S ribosomal RNA". It matches the Rfam family "Bacterial small subunit ribosomal RNA", at positions 355 to 776 of the family's 1533-position model. The record is from RNAcentral. Lineage: Bacteria; Pseudomonadati; Gemmatimonadota.